GUGCUUGCUCUGGCAGCACAUAUAUUAAAAUUGGAAUGAUACAGAGAGGAUUAGCAUGGCCCUGCACAAGGAUGACACGUAAAUUUGUGAAGCGUUCCAUAUUUAA
This is a small nuclear RNA of Ochotona princeps (American pika), 106 nucleotides long. The record is from RefSeq and is a predicted model, not a curated record. Lineage: Eukaryota; Metazoa; Chordata; Mammalia; Lagomorpha; Ochotonidae.